RNAcentral lists this ribosomal RNA (468 nucleotides) under uncultured organism. RNAcentral describes it as "bacterial SSU rRNA". It matches the Rfam family "Bacterial small subunit ribosomal RNA", at positions 28 to 507 of the family's 1533-position model. The record is from RNAcentral.
GAUGAACGCUAGCGGCAGGCUUAAUACAUGCAAGGCGAGGGGGCAGCAAUGUCACCGUCGUACGGGUGCGUAACGCGUAUGCAACCUACCUUCAACUGGGGGAUAGCCCGGGGAAACCCGGAUUAAUACCGCAUAACACAAUGGAGUCACCUGGUUUUAUUGUUAAAGAUUUAUUGGUUGAAGAUGGGCAUGCGUUCGAUUAGCUAGUUGGCGGGGUAACGGCCCACCAAGGCGACGAUCGAUAGGGGAGCUGAGAGGUUGAUCCCCCACACGGGCACUGAGAUACGGGCCCGACUCCUACGGGAGGCAGCAGUAGGGAAUAUUGGGCAAUGGAUGCAAGUCUGACCCAGCCAUGCCGCGUGCCGGAAGAAGGCCCUCAGGGUUGUAAACGGCUUUUAUUCGGGAAGAAGAGCAUGGAUGCGUCUGUGUGUGACGGUACCGAAUGAAUAAGCACCGGCUAACUCCGUG